GGAACAUCGUCUUCUGCAUCUGUGAAUCAAUUUCUCCUCGCAUUUCUGGUUUCUUACUUGAACCCUAAAUCGCUGCCUCUUUCUUCUUCCCCUUUUUACCUUCCUUUUGCUUAAAUCAUUAAUCAAUUUCAAACUCAUUCAAAUUUAAGUUUACUUUCACUUCGUGACUCGGCUCUCCAAAUUAAUUAGUGCUUUGAAUCUGAAAUAAGACGACACAUAUCAAUCUUCAAUUUGAAUUAUUUUUUUCUCGAUUUUUAAUUUUGAUUAGUUCCUAGUUCCAAAGAAGAUCCGAGAAACAUCAAUUUAUUUUUAAUUGAAAUUGGAUACAAAAUUUUAAGAAGUUUCGGUUUUCUAUCUUUCCGGGAAACAAUUUUAUAAAAUGGAAAAAGAAAAUGUGAUCAUCUGCAUAAUGAUUUUGUCAUACUAUAUGUAUUUUUUGAAUGCUUUAUGAAUGGACUUCACGAUGAAUAUUCUUGAAAUCUCUAGCUUAUAGCAUCUUUAUUCAAUGUCCAUACAUAAUUCUCUAGCUUAUUAAGUGGAAUUUUCCCUGAUUCCCAGCUAGUUUGUAAAAAUAUGUUCUUGUACAUCUCUUGUAUCGUUCUGUUGUUGCUAGAUUAUUAUAUUUAGCAUCAUACUUGUUUUGAUCUUGAAGUAAUUUGACUCCUGCUUAUCAUUUAAUGUUUUUUAUUCGAC
Molecule: long non-coding RNA, 693 nt
Filed under: Olea europaea subsp. europaea
Lineage: Eukaryota; Viridiplantae; Streptophyta; Magnoliopsida; Lamiales; Oleaceae
Source: RNAcentral